Molecule: ribosomal RNA, 1485 nt
Filed under: uncultured bacterium
Lineage: Bacteria
Description: 16S ribosomal RNA
Rfam family: Bacterial small subunit ribosomal RNA
Source: RNAcentral
CUGGCUCAGGAUGAACGCUAGCGACAGGCUUAACACAUGCAAGUCGAGGGGCAGCGGGGGUGCAGGCUUGCCUGCACCUGCCGGCGACCGGCGCACGGGUGAGUAACACGUAUGGAACCUGCCCGCCACAGGGGGAUAACCCGGGGAAACCCGGCCUAAUACCCCAUGCCGCCCGGACCGGGCAUCCGGACCGGGCGAAAGGAGGAAUCCGGUGGCGGCUGGGCAUGCGGCGCAUUAGCUUGACGGCGGGGUAACGGCCCACCGUGGCGACGAUGCGUAGGGGUUCUGAGAGGAAGGCCCCCCACACUGGAACUGAGACACGGUCCAGACUCCUACGGGAGGCAGCAGUGAGGAAUAUUGGUCAAUGGGCGGAAGCCUGAACCAGCCAAGUCGCGUGAGGGAAUAAGGCCCUACGGGUCGUAAACCUCUUUUGCCGGGGAGCAAGGGCCGGGACGAGUCCCGGUCCGGAGAGUACCCGGAGAAAAAGCAUCGGCUAACUCCGUGCCAGCAGCCGCGGUAAUACGGAGGAUGCGAGCGUUAUCCGGAUUUAUUGGGUUUAAAGGGUGCGUAGGCGGGCUUUUAAGUCAGCGGUAAAAAUUCGGGGCUCAACCCCGUCCGGCCGUUGAAACUGGGGGCCUUGAGUGGGCGAGAAGAAGGCGGAAUGCGUGGUGUAGCGGUGAAAUGCAUAGAUAUCACGCAGAACCCCGAUUGCGAAGGCAGCCUUCCGGCGCCCUACUGACGCUGAGGCACGAAAGUGCGGGGAUCGAACAGGAUUAGAUACCCUGGUAGUCCGCACAGUAAACGAUGGAUGCCAGCUGUCCGGGCCGAAUGGGGCCUGGGUGGCAAAGCGAAAGCGUUAAGCAUCCCACCUGGGGAGUACGCCGGCAACGGUGAAACUCAAAGGAAUUGACGGGGGCCCGCACAAGCGGAGGAACAUGUGGUUUAAUUCGAUGAUACGCGAGGAACCUUACCCGGGCUCAAACGCGUCAGGGAUCCCCUCUGAAAGGAGGGGAGUCAGCAAUGACCUGGCGCGAGGUGCUGCAUGGUUGUCGUCAGCUCGUGCCGUGAGGUGUCGGCUUAAGUGCCAUAACGAGCGCAACCCCUACCGACAGUUGCUAACUGGUGAAGCAGAGGACUCUGUCGGGACUGCCGGCGCAAGCUGCGAGGAAGGCGGGGAUGACGUCAAAUCAGCACGGCCCUUACGUCCGGGGCGACACACGUGUUACAAUGGCAGGUACAGCGGGAAGCCACCGGGCGACCGGGCGCGGAACCCGAAAACCUGUCUCAGUUCGGAUCGGAGUCUGCAACCCGACUCCGUGAAGCUGGAUUCGCUAGUAAUCGCGCAUCAGCCACGGCGCGGUGAAUACGUUCCCGGGCCUUGUACACACCGCCCGUCAAGCCAUGGGAGCCGGGGGUGCCUGAAGUCCGUGACCGCAAGGGGCGGCCUAGGGUAAAACCGGUGACUGGGGCUAAGUCGUAACAAGG